This 2169-nucleotide long non-coding RNA is filed under the name Solanum tuberosum (potato). Its description in RNAcentral is "long non-coding RNA (STUB_LNC004222)". Lineage: Eukaryota; Viridiplantae; Streptophyta; Magnoliopsida; Solanales; Solanaceae. The record is from RNAcentral.
GAUCUCAGUGUAAAAAUGUGUCACUAAUUUUGAAGGCAAUGAGGUCUCAGAAGCAUCUAAAAUGAGCAAUUUAACUGGUGGAAAAUCUGAAACCAGUCUUCCAAAUCAAUUGGAAGUUAUUUUUUGUCAAGAUUUAAAUGGAAGUUUGGAUGGGGUUGGCUCAGCAGAUGUUUGUGAUUAUACUUGUCAUAAUGAUGGACGAUUUUGGAGGUGUUACAACUUUGUACAAGAGACUAAGAUGGGAUCUCUGGUUUGAAAGCUGAUCAAUAUGCUACAGCACUGAGGGAGCUGCUAUUCGUUCAUUUUGUAUAUUUCACUGAUUUUGAAGGUGUGCAUCUGAUUAUACCUUGCUGGUUAAGUCUUCUCCAAGCAUAACUCCAAUUUCAAGAACUCCAAUUACCAACUCCAUGAUAAUUAUGAGUUCAAGAACUCUCCUUUUUUUCUGAUUCAGGGGCAACAUUUAAAUCAAACUUGAAAUGCUCGAUUAAAGUAGCACUUUUUGUUUCUUCUAGAAUUCCCCUACCCGCAACUUUAUUGCCAACUUUUGCUCCUCCAUGUGUUUAUCUGGAGUAUUUCAGAGCCGGGGUGCAUAACCUUAUACAUUAGUAUUCAUUUGUUUUCUUUCUCGUUCCAUGCUUUUAAAUCUUUAUGGAGAUCUUCCAAUGCCUUAAAGCCAUUUGAUUUUCCCUCAACAUAAUCACGUUGACGAUUCUCUAGUUUCAUUUUGAAAAAUUUAUCAAUUAUUUCUUCUAUACUUGUGGAAAACACAAAAACCAUGUGUUUUCCACAAGUAUAGAAUAAAUAAUUGAUAAAUUUUUCAAAGUGAAAGUAGAGGAUCGCCAACAUGAUUAUGCUUAGGGCAAAUUAGAUGGCUUUGAGGCACUGGAGAUCUUUGUGAAGAAUUACAAACAUUUAAUGAGAAAAACGAAUACUAAUGUAUAAGAUUAUACACUCUGGCUCAGAAACACCUCAUGAUAAAUAUAUGGAGCAGUAGAAGCUGGCCAUUAAGUUGCAGGUGAAGAAUGAUAAAGAAGAAAUAAGGAGGUGCUAUGUUGGUCAAACAUCUCAAAUUUGAUUUAAUUGUAGUCUUUGAGCCAGAAGAGGAGAGUUUUUCAACUUAUAAUUAACAUUGAUUUGGUAGUUGGUGUUCUUGAAAUUGGAGAAUACCUUACCAAUGAUCGAAUCUUCAAAUUUGGUCAAUCUUUGUUUUUAUUAUUAACUCAUCCAUUUAUACGAAUUGUUAUACAUUAAUUACUUAUUUUAGUGGAGUGGUUUUGCAUUUAAGUAGUUAAAACCUACAUUGCUAAUUUAGUAAUUGAGUUUACACAAAAUAGGAGCCAGAAAAAGAAUAAGUCAAAUUUGAGAAAGUACAUUCCAAGUGCACCCGAGGGUGUGGAAUUAAACACAAACGUAUUAAACACUUAUUUUGAUAAAGGUAACAGUGAUAUUUAUAGAACACUUUGUAGCAUCACAUUAGUGUUAUAGGGAAUGACACACUAAAGUGUAAUACAGGAAAGAUGACUGCUUUGGCAUUUGCAGUCUGUAAAAUUAGAAGUUUCUGUCUAAACUUCAUGGCUACUAAUUAGUAUUUGAUAAUUGUCACAGGUGAUUGUGAUCGUUGUGGAGAUAUGAUCUCAGUGUAAAAAUGUGUCACUAAUUUUGAAGGCAAUGAGGUCUCAGAAGCAUCUAAAAUGAGCAAUUUAACUGGUGGAAAAUCUGAAACCAGUCUUCCAAAUCAAUUGGAAGUUAUUUUUUGUCAAGAUUUAAAUGGAAGUUUGGAUGGGGUUGGCUCAGCAGAUGUUUGUGAUUAUACUUGUCAUAAUGAUGGACGAUUUUGGAGGUGUUACAACUUUGUACAAGAGACUAAGAUGGGAUCUCUGAUUUGAAAGCUGAUCAAUAUGCUACAGCACUGAGGGAGCUGCUAUUUGUUCAUUUUGUAUAUUUCACUGAUUUUGAAGGUGUGCAUCUGAUUAUACCUUGCUGUUACUUUGUUAUGAACUUCAGAAAAGUGCCAAGUGCGAAAGUGUAAGAACUCGGAGGAUAUGUACAAUGCUUAGUAUAAUUUUAAGGAUGAUGAUGAUGACAGUGACCGAGAACCAUCAGAAAGGCAAAUAGAAGUUCUGCAGUGGUUGUGUCAAUUGUACCAUGAUCAAUGUCGAGGAUGUUGGC